UCUCUCGUAGCCUAGUUGGUCAGAGCAUUGGUGCGUAAAUCCAAAGGUCCCGGGUUCGAUUCCCUGCGGGGGGU
Molecule: transfer RNA, 74 nt
Filed under: Agrilus planipennis (emerald ash borer)
Lineage: Eukaryota; Metazoa; Arthropoda; Insecta; Coleoptera; Buprestidae
Rfam family: tRNA
About the family: Transfer RNA (tRNA) molecules are approximately 80 nucleotides in length. Their secondary structure includes four short double-helical elements and three loops (D, anti-codon, and T loops).
Source: Rfam by way of RNAcentral